CUUGGUCAUUUAGAGGAAGUAAAAGUCGUAACAAGGUUUCCGUAGGUGAACCUGCGGAAGGAUCAUUCAUAAUAAGUGUUUUAUGGCACUUUUUAAAUCCAUAUCCACCUUGUGUGCAAUGUCAGUCGAUCUUCUUCAUGGAGAUCGACCAAACAUCAACCUUUAUUUUUUAACUCUUUGUCUGAAAAAUAUUAUGAAUAAACAAUUCAAAAUACAACUUUCAACAACGGAUCUCUUGGCUCUCGCAUCGAUGAAGAACGCAGCGAAAUGCGAUACGUAAUGUGAAUUGCAGAAUUCAGUGAAUCAUCGAAUCUUUGAACGCAUAUUGCGCUCUUUGGUAUUCCGAAGAGCAUGCUUGUUUGAGUAUCAGUAAACACCUCAAAGCUUUUGGAUUUUUUAAUCGAAAAGCUUUGGACUUGAGCAAUCCCAACACCAAUCUUUUUGAGAUCGGUGGCGGGUUGCUUGAAAUGCAGGUGCAGCUGGACAUUCUCCUGAGCUAAAAGCAUAUUCAUUUAGUCCCGUCAAACGGAUUAUUACUUUUGCUGCAGCUAACAUAAAGGGAGUUUGACCGUAUUGGCUGACUGAUGCAGGAUUUCACAAGGGUCGGCAACGAUUCUUGUUAAACUCGAUCUCAAAUCAAGUAAGACUACCCGCUGAACUUAAGCAUAUCAAUAAGCGGAGGAAAAGAAACUAACAAGGACUCCCCUAGUAACGGCGAGUGAAGCGGGAUGAGCUCAAAUUUAAAAUCUGGCUGGUUUACUAGUCCGAAUUGUAGUUUAUAGAAGCGUUUUCGGUGGCAGCCUGGGUAUAAAUCCUUUGGAAUAGGGUAUCAUAGAGGGUGAGAAUCCCGUCUUUGACUCAGUGCAUGCUACUAUGUGAUACGUUUUCAAAGAGUCGAGUUGUUUGGGAAU
This 911-nucleotide small RNA is filed under the name uncultured zygomycete. RNAcentral describes it as "eukaryotic LSU rRNA". The stretch from base 627 to 911 matches the Rfam family "Eukaryotic large subunit ribosomal RNA", at positions 1 to 281 of the family's 3401-position model. The record is from RNAcentral. Lineage: Eukaryota; Fungi.